CCUACGGGUUGCACCAGUGGGAAUAUUGCACAAUGGGCGCAAGCCUGAUGCAGCCAUGCCGCGUGUGUGAAGAAGGCCUUCGGGUUGUAAAGUACUUUCAGCGAGGAGGAAGGUGGUGAGCUUAAUACGCUCAUCAAUUGACGUUACUCGCAGAAGAAGCACCGGCUAACUCCGUGCCAACAGCCGCGGUAAUACGGAGGGUGCAAGCGUUAAUCGGAAUUACUGGGCGUAAAGCGCACGCAGGCGGUUUGUUAAGUCAGAUGUGAGAUCCCCGGGCUCAACCUGGGAACUGCAUUUGAAACUGGCAAGCUAGAGUCUCGUAGAGGGGGGUAGUAUUCCAGGUGUAGCGGUGAAAUGCGUAGAGAUCUGGAGGAAUACCGGUGGCGAAGGCGGCCCCCUGGACGAGGACUGACGCUCAGGUGCGAAAGCGUGGGGAGCAAACAGGAUUAGAUACCCUUGUAGUC
Molecule: ribosomal RNA, 464 nt
Filed under: uncultured bacterium
Lineage: Bacteria
Description: bacterial SSU rRNA
Rfam family: Bacterial small subunit ribosomal RNA
Source: RNAcentral